GGGGAUUUAGCUCAGUGGUAGAGCGCUUGCCUAGCAAGCACAAGGCCCUGGGUUCGCUCCUCAGCUCCG
RNAcentral lists this transfer RNA (69 nucleotides) under Rattus norvegicus (Norway rat). It matches the Rfam family "tRNA". Rfam says of the family: Transfer RNA (tRNA) molecules are approximately 80 nucleotides in length. Their secondary structure includes four short double-helical elements and three loops (D, anti-codon, and T loops). Further hydrogen bonds mediate the characteristic L-shaped molecular structure. tRNAs have two regions of fundamental functional importance: the anti-codon, which is responsible for specific mRNA codon recognition, and the 3' end, to which the tRNAs corresponding amino acid is attached (by aminoacyl-tRNA synthetases). tRNAs cope with the degeneracy of the genetic code in two manners: having more than one tRNA (with a specific anti-codon) for a particular amino acid; and 'wobble' base-pairing, i.e. permitting non-standard base-pairing at the 3rd anti-codon position. Lineage: Eukaryota; Metazoa; Chordata; Mammalia; Rodentia; Muridae. The record is from Rfam by way of RNAcentral.